UACGUAGGGGGCAAGCGUUAUCCGGAUUUACUGGGUGUAGAGGGAGCGUAGACGGCAGUGCAAGUCUGGAGUGAAAGGCGGGGGCUCAACCCCCAGACUGCUCUGGAAACUGUACGGCUGGAGUGCAGGAGAGGUAAGUGGAAUUCCUAGUGUAGCGGUGAAAUGCGUAGAUAUUAGGAGGAACACCAGUGGCGAAGGCGGCUUACUGGACUGUAACUGACGUUGAGGCUCGAAAGCGUGGGGAGCAAACAGG
This 253-nucleotide ribosomal RNA is filed under the name uncultured bacterium. RNAcentral describes it as "partial 16S ribosomal RNA". It matches the Rfam family "Bacterial small subunit ribosomal RNA", at positions 524 to 776 of the family's 1533-position model. The record is from RNAcentral.